This 2690-nucleotide long non-coding RNA is filed under the name Sus scrofa (pig). Its description in RNAcentral is "lncRNA (ENSSSCG00005040691.1)". Lineage: Eukaryota; Metazoa; Chordata; Mammalia; Artiodactyla; Suidae. The record is from RNAcentral.
UUUUUGUGAAACCACGUGUGCAUGUAAAGUGCUGAACGUUUUGCCUGGAAUAUGGUAAGGACAUAACAAUACCUUUUAUUUACCAUCACUGCUUUCACUUGUGGUACCAUGGGAUCAUAAAAAGAAUUAAUUUAAUAUUCAAUGGAAAGAUCCAAACACUUCUCUGCUGAUAUGUCUUAACUGUUUAUGGACCGAGCCUAGGAAACUAACUCUAAGUGUGCCCUCUUGUCCAUGUUGGCUGGUGGGUUUUAGCAGAAGAAUCAGGUUGGCAGUGUGGACAGCCCAACAUUGCUUGAAAGAGGUCAGCUUGGAAUUUAGUAAGAUUGUAAAGUCUCUAUUUUAGCCAAAGACAUAGAAAAUUUUAUGUGAGCUCAGAGAUGCUUCAAAGUAAAUGAGAGUGUCUUGGUGUGCAUAUACUACACAUAUUUGGUUUUCAUCUCAGGGAAAAAAGCAUAAAUAAGAUGAAAUUGUUGAAUUUAGUAACCUACAAAAGUCUUUCCUGCAUUGGUCUACUGAGUAGGAAGUUAGACAGUCUAAUUGUAGCACAGAUAAAAUAAAAUUCAUAAUCAAAUGUGACUCUCCAUCUGCUCAGAAUUUCCCACUUAAUGUUUUAUGUGAAUUGUUAAAAUUCUAUUUUCAGUUGAUUUGUGACAAGGGCUUUUGCAGCUAGCCAUCAAGACCAAGACCUUAGACAUUUGUACCACCAGAUGGAGGAUAUGUUUGCUAUUCUCCCUGGAUUUCAGAGAAAGAUUUCAGGGCUUAUUUCCCAAGAUAAAUGUGUUAUCAAUACACAGCCACUUUCAUCGAGAACGUCCUUGUACACCUAAAACACUUCAAAAGGGACUCAAAGGCAAAAUAGUAGCAUAAAUGAUACACGCUGGGCCCUCUGUUGCAUAUUUCGUCUAAUUUUAACAACCAUUUUAUAAGUAUUAUCUCCAUUUAACAUAAGAGAAAACCAAGACCUUGAUACACUAGAUCAAUAGUUUCCAAAAUCUUGACUACGUGCUAUUUUAUUAUGUGAUCGUUGAUAAAUGACAAAGAACAUUUACCAAAGAUGUAAAAUAUAAAGCAUAAUGGAAAGCACAAUAAAAAUGAGCACUCUUGAAGGUACAAGUGUGAGCAACAGAACUAGAAACUUAUCACAGUCAUCAAAUUUAUGACUCCACUGCUCUGUCCCUCUGCUUCCAGUUAGAGUUAACGACAAUCCCAAACUUUGAUUCAUUCUUAUAGCUAAAUGUGUUGCUUCGUUCGUUUGUUUUUCAGAACUGCACCCGUGGCAUCUAUAAGUUCCCAGGCUAGGGGUGGAAUCAGAGCUGCAGCUGACGGCUUACACCACAGCCACAGCAAUGCAGGAACCAAGUCAUGUCUGCGACCUACACAACAGCUCAUGGCAACGCCGGAUCCCUGACUCACUGAGCAAAGCCAGGGAUUGAACCCACAUCUUCGUGGAUACUGGUCGGAUUCGUUUCUGCUGCUCCACCACAGGAACUCCAAUUGUAGCUAUUUUAAAAAAAUGGGUCUAGACACGAGUUUAUUUAGAGCAUUCUUUUGGUUUGUGUAAACGAGCAGCAAGGUCUGGGCAGUCGUGGACUUAACAUAAACACUGUGGUCUUCCCUUGUGGCCUACAGCGUAAUUACUUUGCCUUGUCUCUGUAAACACUAUAACAAUAAUUCUUGGACUUGGUGCUUUCCACUCAGAAGUCAUCCGCUGGUUUUGUGGUUUCAAUUUAAGUUCAAGGCAAUUCCUUAUUUCACACUGAUUUGAUCAGAAAACUCAAUUUACUGUUACAUUUUAAAAUAUUUUCUUAAAACCAUCCCAAAUUGGAGAUUGAUCAGAAAUAGCAUCAAAUAUGCUUUCUCAUAAUUCUUUUUAACCACUUUACUCUGUUGUCAGUAGAAUGUUGAAAAUGUAGUAAACCAAAACAAUUCUUUUCUGCUGUCUAUAGACUCAGAACCAGCAGAUCACAGAAAUAUCUCAGCUUUUUUCUUUCGUUAUUCCAUCACGACUAUGUUUAUUUUUAAAUUCAUUUAAGAAAACAUUUAUAAAACAAUUGGAACCCUGGAGAUAAUGGAGUCCUAAAGGAAUUUAUGCACACGCUGUGGUCAUCUGUCAUUCUGGAGCGUGACCUGUGGGUGACAGACACCUUCCUUGUGGAGAAGGGGAGUAGUGAGCAAAUAACUCAGGAAAGUGAGGGAUUGAGCCACGUAUACAUCUAGUGGAAGAGAAUUCCAGGCAGAAUAAACUUUCCUAACCUGGAAGCAUGCCUGCUUGUAUGUUUAAGGAAGAGUGAGGAGCCCCAUGGGGCUGGAGUGAGUGAACAAGGAGAAAACACUGUCCUAAGGGUUGUCAGAGGAGAAAUAAAGAGCCACAGCGUGUAAAACCCAGUGACACGUCUAAAGAUUUGGACAUCAACUCUGAAUGAGAGGGGAGCAAAUGGUGGAUUUACAUAGAGGCAAGUCCUUGUCUGACAUAUUUUGAAAGCACCUCAUUGGAAAGUGUGUCAAGAGUAGACAAAGGAGUUCCUGCUGUGGUGCAGUGGGUUAAGAUUCUAACUGCAGUGAGUAGGGUCCCUGUGGAGGUGCAGGCUCAAACCCUGGCCCGGAGCAGUGGGUUAAAGGAUCUGCUGUUGCUGCAGCUGUUGCAUAGGUCACAGCUGUGGCUCAGAUUCCAUCCCUGGCUUGGGAACUUC